GAUUGUCACUGAGGAAACUUCCGGCACACGUCGGAAGUUAUUCACAACUGGACAGGAAACCCGCCUCUCAGGCUGUGGCCACGCCUCCGCCGCCGUGAGGCCCAGGAAGCCGAGGGAACGCUGUGGCUGAAAGGGACCUGGGUCCGCUCAGUCAGCCCGAGGUGGCUGUUGAUUGAGGGAGGUCGCGCCCUCCCAGUUACCUUCCCUGGUGGUUGUGCCGCUCGGUGUGACGCGGUCAAGGGGACGGCUACGCGAGAAUGGGGGAGUGGGGCGCCCGAGGCUGCUCCUGGGCCCUGGGAAGCCCCCGAUUAAUGAAUGGUCGGGUCAGCGACGCGAGGGUCGGGGUUUCUCUGAGGACCGCGCGCUGCACCUGCGGAGCCGGGUGAAUGGAUGUCGCGAAGGCAAGGGCUGCCCUUACCCCUCGGGGCCGACCUCGGAGCCCUCGCCCGUGGUUGCAACGCUUUCCCGGGAAACCGGAGAAGCCAGGCCGGGGGCUCGGCCUUUCUGAGGCGGCCCUUCCGGCGGAGGACACCGGCGGAAUUUGAGUGCACAGAGUGCGCGAGAGGAGCUCCCUGUAGACACACAGUCCAAGCCACGUAGGUAAUUCUAAUAGCAGCCACAUUUUUAAAGAGUAAAGAGAAAUCGGUGAAACUGCUUUUAAUGUGUUUAAUUUAGCCCAUCCUGUCAUUUCAGCAUGUAAUCAGUCUAAAAGAAUUAAUUAGAUCUUUUACGCUCUGUCGUUGGUUCUAAGUCUUGGAAAUCCAGUGUGUGUUUUAGAGUUAACAGCCCAUCUCAAUUUGGACUAGACCCGUGCCAGGUGCCCAGUUGGCUGUGUACCCUCAUGUAUAUAGGACAGCAAAGUUCUGUAGAAAAGAACUUCAGGCCAGGCGCGGUGGCUCACGCCCGUAAUCCCAGCACUUUGCGAGGCCGAGGCGGGCGGAUCAUCUGAGGUCAGGGGUUCAAGACCAGCCUGGCCAACAUGGCGAAACCCAGUCUCUGCUAAAAAAUACAAAAAUUAGUCCCGGCGCAGUGGCGCAGACCUGUAAUCCCAGCUACUUGGGAGGUUGAGGCAGGAGAAUCGCUUGAACCCGGGAGGCGGAGGUUGUGGUGAGCCGAGAUCGCGCCACUGCACUCCAGCCUGGGCAACAGAGCAAGAUUCCAUCUCAAAAGAAAAAGAAAACAUGAACUUCAAAUGCUUGGGGAGGUCGUAGAUUUCAUCCACACAGCCUGGUUGAACCAGAGUCAGCCUUGUUAGAGUCGAAUGUUGCAUGCUCAGAAUCCAGGCUGCCAAGAGAAAACCAAAAGAAGAUGGCGCUUUAAAAAACCUUCCAGUGCCUUCCCUUGACUCAAUCAAAUUCAAACACCUUACUUUCUAUUCUCCGAGGCUCUACCCCUCCCUCUGAGGUCCUGCCACACCCCCUUCUCUACCCUGCUCACCCUACUUGAGUCGCAAUGACACAUUUGAUGUUCUUCUAACAAGCACUUUAGUUGGUACUAAGUCAGAAAGUCAGAAAUCCAUUACUCUUCUGCUUGGAACAUCCUUUUGCUGGCUUGCUUCCUUAUUUUUUGGAUCUCUGCCCAAAUGCCUUUGUAAGAGAGGCUUAUCCAAAUCCACUUACCAAAAAUAGUGCCUACCUUCCUAAGUCCUUACCAGGCAUAACUUUUCUCCAGUACUGUAUUAGUUAUCUACUACUCUGUAUUAAAUUACCCCCAAAUUUAGCAUCAAGCUUUAUUUCAGUUUCUGUAUGUCAGGUAUUUGAGUGACUCAGCUGGGUGGUUCUGACUAAGAUCUCCUAAGAGGUUGCAGUGAACAUGCUGUCCAGGGCUAAAAUCAUCUGAAGAUCUGACUGUAUUUGACUGUGGCUGGAGAGUCUCCCUUAAAGAUGGUUCAUUUACAUAGCUGAUAGCAAGAGGUUUUGGUUCCUUGACAAGUAGGCCUCUCCAUAGGGCUGCUUGAGUGCAGCAGAGAGCCACAUGAAAUUCAUAGACCUAGCAUUGGAAGUCACACAGUCGUUUCCACAAUGUGUUGUUACUUUUGCAGGUCAGCCCUAUUUAAUGUGAGAAGGGUUAACAUAAGGGCAUGAAUACCAGGAAGUGGGAAGUGGGGGGCAGGGUGGUUUUAGGGGAUCAUUGGGAGAUCAGCUACCACUAGCAUUUGUUGUCACUGAUUUCCCAGGCUUAGCACUGGAAGUCCUGCAUCCCAGGAAAUCCCUCAAUCCUGGGCAAACCAGGAUGUCUAGUCACACUGCAUGUUAGUCAUCUGCGUCUAGAUAGAACAUAAGCUCCAUGACAGCAAGCACUCCUUUGUUGUAUACCCUAAUGCUAGAACAGUGCCAGCAGAUCAACUGUUCAGUAUUUGUUAAACGAAUCUUUUGCAGUGCAAAAGUUAAGUCAGAUGGUGAUUUUUAUUUCUGAAAACUUAUUUUGAGAUUAUCAGUAUCUUUUAAAAUAGCUGAGCCAUCUGGAUACUCACUUUGAGAAAUGUAGCUAGUAUUAGUUGUUAACUGGAAUAAGCAAAGCAGAGUAUAUUUUCAAGCUUCCCUAAAAAGUAAAGCAGAAGAUGGCUAUAAAAGUAAAGAACUUCUGGUUUUACUUUUGCCUAUUAUCAUUCUUAUAUGGCUCUUCCAGCAUCUGUUCUUCAGGUCACUAUUUCCUCCCUGCCUCCUCUAAUCUAUUUUCAUGUUCCUCCUAUUUCAGCAUCAUUGAACUCUCCAGUUUCUUUACUUUUCUUCUUUAAAGGGGUAUUGUUUCCUCCGCCAUACUAAUUUUCCAAUGUACUGUUCUUCUGCAGUCUCCAAGAUAACCUUACUCUUUCCCCAUAUCCCCCUCUACAGUAAAUACAGGUAAUCAGUAAUUUUCCUGUAGUAUUUUUUUCAUAUGUCACUUUUUCUGUUCAAGAAUAG
Molecule: long non-coding RNA, 2903 nt
Filed under: Homo sapiens (human)
Lineage: Eukaryota; Metazoa; Chordata; Mammalia; Primates; Hominidae
Description: non-protein coding lnc-FBXL7-10:1
Source: RNAcentral